This 156-nucleotide ribosomal RNA is filed under the name uncultured Azospirillum sp. RNAcentral describes it as "partial 16S ribosomal RNA". It matches the Rfam family "Bacterial small subunit ribosomal RNA", at positions 334 to 507 of the family's 1533-position model. Lineage: Bacteria; Pseudomonadati; Pseudomonadota; Alphaproteobacteria; Rhodospirillales; Azospirillaceae. The record is from RNAcentral.
UACUCCUACGGGAGGCAGCAGUGGGGAAUAUUGGACAAUGGGGGCAACCCUGAUCCAGCAAUGCCGCGUGAGUGAUGAAGGCCUUAGGGUUGUAAAGCUCUUUCGCACGCGACGAUGAUGACGGUAGCGUGAGAAGAAGCACCGGCUAACUACGUG